This 253-nucleotide ribosomal RNA is filed under the name uncultured bacterium. RNAcentral's name for it is "partial 16S ribosomal RNA". It matches the Rfam family "Bacterial small subunit ribosomal RNA", at positions 524 to 776 of the family's 1533-position model. The record is from RNAcentral.
UACAGAGGUCCCGAGCGUUGUUCGGAUUCACUGGGCGUAAAGGGUGCGUAGGUGGCAUAGAAAGUUUGAUGUGAAAGCCCCGGGCUUAACCUGGGAAUGGCCGUUGAAACUGGCGAACUGGAGUGUGGCAGAGGGGGGUGGAAUUCCGCGUGUAGCAGUGAAAUGCGUAGAGAUGCGGAGGAACACCGAUGGCGAAGGCAGCCCCCUGGGCUAACACUGACGCUCAGGCACGAAAGCGUGGGGAGCAAACAGG